UGGGGGAUAUUGCACAAUGGGCGAAAGCCUGAUGCAGCGACGCCGCGUGGGGGAUGAAGGCUUUCGGGUUGUAAACCUCUUUCGCUAUCGAACAAGGCCCGCUUAGGGUGGGUUGAGGGUAGGUGGAGAAGAAGCGCCGGCUAACUACGUGCCAGCAGCCGCGGUAAUACGUAGGGCGCGAGCGUUGUCCGGCAUUAUUGGGGGUAAAGGGUGCGCAGACGGCUUUACAAGUUGGAUGUGAAAUAUUGUGGCUCAACCACAAACGUGCAUCCAAAACAGCAAAGCUUGAGUUAAGGGGAGGUAAGGGGAAUUCCGGGUGUAGCGGUGGAAUGCGUAGAUAUAAGGAGGAAUACCGGUGGCGAAGGCGACUUACUAGACAUAAACUGACGCUCAGGCACGAAAGCGUGGGGAGCGAACAGG
Molecule: ribosomal RNA, 420 nt
Filed under: Fusobacteriota bacterium
Lineage: Bacteria; Fusobacteriati; Fusobacteriota
Description: Fusobacteria bacterium partial 16S ribosomal RNA
Rfam family: Bacterial small subunit ribosomal RNA
Source: RNAcentral